CAGUAGUCACGAGUUUGAUCAUGGCUCAGAUUGAACGCUGGCGGCAUGCCUAACACAUGCAAGUCGAACGAGACCUUCGGGUCUAGUGGCGCACGGGUGCGUAACACGUGGGAAUUUGCCUCGGGGUAUGGAAUAACUCAGGGAAACUUGAGCUAAUACCAUAUAAUGUCUUCGGACCAAAGAUUUAUCGCCCUGAGAUAAGCCCGCGUAGGAUUAGCUAGUUGGUGAGGUAAAGGCUCACCAAGGCGACGAUCCUUAGCUGGUCUGAGAGGAUGAUCAGCCACACUGGGACUGAGACACGGUCCAGACUCCUACGGGAGGCAGCAGUGGGGGAAUUUUCCGCAAUGGGCGAAAGCCUGACGGAGCAAUACCGCGUGAGGGAAGAAUGCCUAUGGGUUGUAAACCUCUUUUUUCAGGGAGGAAUAAAAUGACGUGUACCUGAAGAAUAAGCAUCGGCUAACUCCGUG
This 467-nucleotide ribosomal RNA is filed under the name uncultured bacterium. RNAcentral's name for it is "bacterial SSU rRNA". It matches the Rfam family "Bacterial small subunit ribosomal RNA", at positions 1 to 507 of the family's 1533-position model. The record is from RNAcentral.